This 72-nucleotide transfer RNA is filed under the name Salix viminalis (osier). It matches the Rfam family "tRNA". Rfam says of the family: Transfer RNA (tRNA) molecules are approximately 80 nucleotides in length. Their secondary structure includes four short double-helical elements and three loops (D, anti-codon, and T loops). Lineage: Eukaryota; Viridiplantae; Streptophyta; Magnoliopsida; Malpighiales; Salicaceae. The record is from RNAcentral.
AGUCGCUUGGCCGAGUGGUAAGACCGCGCCCCCGCGAAGCGGGGCGCGGGAGUUCGAAUCUCUUAGCGAUUA